GACGAACGCUGGCGGCGCGCCUAACACAUGCAAGUCGAACGAGCGAGAGAGAGCUUGCUUUCUCGAGCGAGUGGCGAACGGGUGAGUAACGCGUGAGGAACCUGCCUCAAAGAGGGGGACAACAGUUGGAAACGACUGCUAAUACCGCAUAAGCCCACAGUGCCGCAUGGCACAGAGGGAAAAGGAGCAAUCCGCUUUGAGAUGGCCUCGCGUCCGAUUAGCUAGUUGGUGAGGUAAUGGCCCACCAAGGCGACGAUCGGUAGCCGGACUGAGAGGUUGAACGGCCACAUUGGGACUGAGACACGGCCCAGACUCCUACGGGAGGCAGCAGUGGGGAAUAUUGCACAAUGGGGGAAACCCUGAUGCAGCGACGCCGCGUGGAGGAAGAAGGUCUUCGGAUUGUAAACUCCUGUUGUUGAGGAAGAUAAUGACGGUACUCAACAAGGAAGUGACGGCUAACUACGUGCCAGCAGCCGCGGUAAAACGUAGGUCACAAGCGUUGUCCGGAAUUACUGGGUGUAAAGGGAGCGCAGGCGGGAAGACAAGUUGGAAGUGAAAUCCAUGGGCUCAACCCAUGAACUGCUUUCAAAACUGUUUUUCUUGAGUAGUGCAGAGGUAGGCGGAAUUCCCGGUGUAGCGGUGGAAUGCGUAGAUAUCGGGAGGAACACCAGUGGCGAAGGCGGCCUACUGGGCACCAACUGACGCUGAGGCUCGAAAGUGUGGGUAGCAAACAGGAUUAGAUACCCUGGUAGUCCACACUGUAAACGAUGAUUACUAGGUGUUGGAGGAUUGACCCCUUCAGUGCCGCAGUUAACACAAUAAGUAAUCCACCUGGGGAGUACGACCGCAAGGUUGAAACUCAAAGGAAUUGACGGAAGG
This 879-nucleotide ribosomal RNA is filed under the name uncultured bacterium. RNAcentral's name for it is "bacterial SSU rRNA". It matches the Rfam family "Bacterial small subunit ribosomal RNA", at positions 28 to 920 of the family's 1533-position model. The record is from RNAcentral.